This 109-nucleotide ribosomal RNA is filed under the name Pteropus alecto (black flying fox). The record is from RNAcentral. Lineage: Eukaryota; Metazoa; Chordata; Mammalia; Chiroptera; Pteropodidae.
GUCUACAGCCAUGCUACCCCAAGCCUGUCUGAUCUCGGAAGCUAAGCAGGGUCAGGCCUGGUUAGUACUUGGAUGGGAGACCACCUAGGAAGACCAGGUGCUAUAUGCA